Molecule: non-coding RNA, 114 nt
Organism: Acanthosepion pharaonis
Lineage: Eukaryota; Metazoa; Mollusca; Cephalopoda; Sepiida; Sepiidae
Source: the annotation of a GenBank genome assembly
UUACGGUCAUAUCACUUUGGAACACCGGUUCCUGUACAAUCAUAAACGUUAAGCAACGUCGAGCCUGGUUAGUAACUUGACGGGUGACCUCUUCGGAAUUCCAGAUGCUGUAAG